CCCUUAGAUGUUCUGGGCCGCACGCGUGCUACACUGAGUAAAUCAAUGGGUAAGGGAACACGAAAGUGCGACCUAAUCUUGAAAUUUGCUCGUGAUGGGGAUCGACGGUUGCAAUUUUCCGUCGUGAACGAGGAAUACCUUGUAGGCGCGUGUCAUCAUCACGCGCCGAAUACGUCCCUGCCCUUUGUACACACCGCCCGUCGCUCCUACCGAUUGAGUGAUCCGGUGAGGCUCUGGGACCUGGACGGAAAGAGCGUUUCGCUUGUUCUGUUUGGGAAACUUGGUCGAACCUUAUCAUUUAGAGGAAGGAGAAGUCGUAACA
This 322-nucleotide ribosomal RNA is filed under the name uncultured eukaryote. Its description in RNAcentral is "partial 18S ribosomal RNA". It matches the Rfam family "Eukaryotic small subunit ribosomal RNA", at positions 1470 to 1796 of the family's 1831-position model. The record is from RNAcentral.